This 38-nucleotide non-coding RNA is filed under the name Karenia brevis. The record is from RNAcentral. Lineage: Eukaryota; Dinophyceae; Gymnodiniales; Kareniaceae.
UGUCAGGAUGAUUAGCUUGUGCAGCAGGAAAACUGCUU